Long non-coding RNA from Pongo pygmaeus (Bornean orangutan), 802 nucleotides. RefSeq lists it as uncharacterized. NCBI's taxonomy places the organism in Eukaryota, Metazoa, Chordata, Mammalia, Primates, Hominidae. The transcript has 5 exons. The record is from RefSeq and is a predicted model, not a curated record.
UGAGGAGCCAAGAUGUGCAGUUGUCUUAUAAUUGGGUUGUUUAAAUCAUUUAUGUGUAAUAUGAAUAUAGCUAUAGUUGGGUUUAAAUCCAUCAUCUUAUCUCUUUUCCAUUUGUUGCUUGUAUUCGUUGUUUCCUUUUUCCUCUUUUCUAUUUUUGGAUUAGAAAUUGUUUUUUACAUUUUAAAAAGUGUUUUCUCUCUCUCCCCACCCCCCUUUUUUAAGAGACAGGGUCUCAUUCUGUUGCUCAGACUGGAGUGCAAUGAUGUGAUCACAGCUCACUGCAGCCUCAAAUUCCUGUGCUCAAGCGAGCCUCUCUGCAUCAGCCUCCAAGGUAGUUGGGACUACAGGUCUCACGUCACCCAGGCUGAAGGGCAGUGGCACGAUCAUGGCUCACUGCAGUCUUGACCUCCUGUGCUCAAGCAAUCUUCCCACUUCAGCUUCCUGAGUAGGUGGGACCACAGGCAUGCACCACGCAUGCUCAGGUCAUCCAAGGAAACACAUCUACAAAAAUUGGCUCAAAGGCUUAAACUUGUGUCAGUACAACUAUGAUGAUGAGCUGCUACCUAGACAGAGUCUCACCAUGUUGCCUUGGCUGGUCUUAAACUCCUGGACUCAAGUGAUCCUCCCGCCUCAGCCUCCCAAAUUGUUGGGAUUACAGAAAAAAAGCCAUGUAAGGACACAGUAACAAGGCAGUAGUCUACAAGCCAAGAAGAGAGGCCUCACCACAAGCCAGCCCUGACAGCACCUUGAUCUUGGACGUCUAGCCUCCAGAACUGUAAGAAAAUAAAUCUCUAUUGCUUAA